AGAGGGCUGAGUCACCAAAGACAUGCCUGAUGAGUGCAGCAGCUGACAAGGGGUACUGUGAGUGGAGGAAGUUGAGGAAGAACUGCAGAGACUAACAUGCAACCCAGGGGUGCUUGCAAGAGAUGUAUUUCUUCAACUUUUCCAAUGGCUUCAUAUUGUCACCACAAGGUGACAACACAUCACACUAUGAAAUAUCAAGACCUAUCAGAAUGGCCACCAAAAUUGAUGAGUUCCUCCUCACAUCUUGUUAUGUUAGCUAGAGCUCGUAUUCUGAUGCUGCUUAUAAUCAACAAGGGAGACAUGCUGGAGACAGCUUAUCAGGUCUUGCUGCAAGACAGGGACUGGUGACAGGAAGAGGAAUAAUUCCCUGUAAUCUAUGACUGACAAGGCACAAUUUAACACACUUCACAGACAAGGCUGGAAAAAAUUGUCCUUGUAGGUUGACACUGACCUGAGAUCAUUCUGGAAAAUGUCAGUGUUCUUUGGUCUAAAUACU
Molecule: long non-coding RNA, 496 nt
Organism: Dermochelys coriacea (leatherback sea turtle)
Lineage: Eukaryota; Metazoa; Chordata; Testudines; Dermochelyidae
Exons: 3
Source: RefSeq, a predicted model, not a curated record